Molecule: ribosomal RNA, 497 nt
Filed under: uncultured bacterium
Lineage: Bacteria
Description: partial 16S ribosomal RNA
Rfam family: Bacterial small subunit ribosomal RNA
Source: RNAcentral
GACGAACGCUGGCGGCGUGCCUAAUACAUGCAAGUAGAACGCUGAAGCGAGGAGCUUACUCUUCUUGGAUGAGUUGCGAACGGGUGAGUAACGCGUAGGUAACCUGCCUUGUAGCGGGGGAUAACUAUUGGAAACGAUAGCUAAUACCGCAUAACAAUGGAUGCCACAUGUCAUUUAUUUGAAAGGGGCAAUUGCUCCACUACAAGAUGGACCUGCGUUGUAUUAGCUAGUAGGUGAGGUAAUGGCUCACCUAGGCGACGAUACAUAGCCGACCUGAGAGGGUGAUCGGCCACACUGGGACUGAGACACGGCCCAGACUCCUACGGGAGGCAGCAGAAGGGAAUCUUCGGCAAUGGGGGCAACCCUGACCGAGCAACGCCGCGAGAGUGAAGAAGGUUUUCGGAUCGUGAAGCUCUGUUGUAAGUCAAGAACGGGUGUGAGAGUGGAAAGUUCACACUGUGACGGUAGCUUACCAGAAAGGGACGGCUAACUACGUG